UGGGGAAUAUUGCACAAUGGGCGCAAGCCUGAUGCAGCCAUGCCGCGUGUGUGAAGAAGGCCUUCGGGUUGUAAAGCACUUUCAGCGGGGAGGAAGGCGGUGAGGUUAAUAACCUCAUCGAUUGACGUUACCCGCAGAAGAAGCACCGGCUAACUCCGUGCCAGCAGCCGCGGUAAUACGGAGGGUGCAAGCGUUAAUCGGAAUUACUGGGCGUAAAGCGCACGCAGGCGGUCUGUCAAGUCGGAUGUGAAAUCCCCGGGCUCAACCUGGGAAUUGCAUCUGAUACUGGUCAGCUAGAGUCUUGUAGAGGGGGGUAGAAUUCCAUGUGUAGCGGUGAAAUGCGUAGAGAUGUGGAGGAAUACCGGUGGCGAAGGCGGCCCCCUGGACAAAGACUGACGCUCAGGUGCGAAAGCGUGGGGAGCAAACAGG
Molecule: ribosomal RNA, 429 nt
Filed under: Chloroflexota bacterium
Lineage: Bacteria; Bacillati; Chloroflexota
Description: Chloroflexi bacterium partial 16S ribosomal RNA
Rfam family: Bacterial small subunit ribosomal RNA
Source: RNAcentral